UGGGGAAUCUUGCACAAUGGGGGAAACCCUGAUGCAGCGACGCCGCGUGAGCGAUGAAGCCCUUCGGGGUGUAAAGCUCUUUCGGCAGGGAAGAUGAUGACGGUACCUGCAGAAGCAGCUGCGGCUAACUACGUGCCAGCAGCCGCGGUAAUACGUAGGCAGCAAGCGUUGUUCGGAGUUACUGGGCGUAAAGGGUGUGUAGGCGGUUCUUUAAGUUUGGUGUGAAAUCUCCCGGCUCAACCGGGAGGGUGCGCCGAAAACUGAAGGGCUAGAGUGCGGGAGAGGAGAGUGGAAUUCCUGGUGUAGCGGUGAAAUGCGUAGAUAUCAGGAGGAACACCGGUGGUGUAAACGGCUCUCUGGACCGUAACUGACGCUGAGACACGAAAGCGUGGGUAGCAAACA
RNAcentral lists this ribosomal RNA (402 nucleotides) under uncultured Candidatus Solibacter sp. RNAcentral's name for it is "bacterial SSU rRNA". It matches the Rfam family "Bacterial small subunit ribosomal RNA", at positions 355 to 774 of the family's 1533-position model. Lineage: Bacteria; Pseudomonadati; Acidobacteriota; Terriglobia; Bryobacterales; Solibacteraceae. The record is from RNAcentral.